GGAAACGUGCCUGAACUACUAAGGGUUACUUUGAUAGGGUAAACAAUAGAGGUUAAAAUCCUCUCGCUUCCUUA
RNAcentral lists this transfer RNA (74 nucleotides) under Gambelia copeii (Cope's leopard lizard). RNAcentral's name for it is "tRNA-Ile". It matches the Rfam family "tRNA". From Rfam's summary of the family: Transfer RNA (tRNA) molecules are approximately 80 nucleotides in length. Their secondary structure includes four short double-helical elements and three loops (D, anti-codon, and T loops). The record is from RNAcentral. Lineage: Eukaryota; Metazoa; Chordata; Lepidosauria; Squamata; Crotaphytidae.